RNAcentral lists this ribosomal RNA (589 nucleotides) under Pediococcus pentosaceus. Its description in RNAcentral is "bacterial SSU rRNA". It matches the Rfam family "Bacterial small subunit ribosomal RNA", at positions 9 to 569 of the family's 1533-position model. Lineage: Bacteria; Bacillati; Bacillota; Bacilli; Lactobacillales; Lactobacillaceae. The record is from RNAcentral.
GAGUUUGAUCCUGGCUCAGGACGAACGCUGGCGGCGUGCCUAAUACAUGCAAGUCGAACGCUUCUUUUUCCACCGGAGCUUGCUCCACCGGAAAAAGAGGAGUGGCGAACGGGUGAGUAACACGUGGGUAACCUGCCCAUCAGAAGGGGAUAACACUUGGAAACAGGUGCUAAUACCGUAUAACAAUCGAAACCGCAUGGUUUUGAUUUGAAAGGCGCUUUCGGGUGUCGCUGAUGGAUGGACCCGCGGUGCAUUAGCUAGUUGGUGAGGUAACGGCUCACCAAGGCGACGAUGCAUAGCCGACCUGAGAGGGUGAUCGGCCACAUUGGGACUGAGACACGGCCCAAACUCCUACGGGAGGCAGCAGUAGGGAAUCUUCGGCAAUGGACGAAAGUCUGACCGAGCAACGCCGCGUGAGUGAAGAAGGUUUUCGGAUCGUAAAACUCUGUUGUUAGAGAAGAACAAGGAUGAGAGUAACUGUUCAUCCCUUGACGGUAUCUAACCAGAAAGCCACGGCUAACUACGUGCCAGCAGCCGCGGUAAUACGUAGGUGGCAAGCGUUGUCCGGAUUUAUUGGGCGUAAAGCGAG